This is a non-coding RNA of Biomphalaria pfeifferi, 824 nucleotides long. The record is from the annotation of a GenBank genome assembly. Lineage: Eukaryota; Metazoa; Mollusca; Gastropoda; Planorbidae.
UUUUUUUUAGUAUUUUCUUUAGGCUUUAUUUAUUUUAUAUUAUUUAAGUUUAUUUUUAUUUUUUUUUUAGAGUUUAUGAUGUUAUAAUAGCUUACUUGUAUUCAAGUCAAUGUGAACAUAUCAUUUCUAUUUAAGAGAAGUUGAUUCUAAUUAGUUACAAUCUUAUUAUCACCAUGGUUGACAUUUAUAUAUCAAAUGUUAAAUGUAACUGUCGUGAUGGUACUUAGUUAAGUACUACAGCUGAAAUACAAGUGGAUUUUAAGCGUAACACCAGUAGCCAAGAUAUUUAUUGUCAAAUAUGAGAUACAUAAAAAACAACACUUAUCACUAGUGUAAUAAUAGGCCAGUUCAUAUAUUGUUACUUGUACCAGGAGUGUAAUAAUACAAAUAAAUUGCAAAUUGAUGCGAACUAUUACCUACAACUUGGAGGUUCUUCUGCAUUUCUUCUUUUAACACAGUAGAAUGUCAAUUAUCACGUUAAUUGGGAAUGGGGUAUGUUUGGAUAAUGGAUCUUCUGAAUAACCAAAUGCAAAAUAUUAUAUAUGGUCUAUUUCACCAACAAUAUAAAAAAAUUCAUAUUGAGCAUUAUACAUAGUUGCCUACCAUUAUUGAGAGAAAUAAUUGCUUAUCUUUUGCUACAUCUCAGCAAGACUACUUGCAUACUCUACUGUAAAAAAAAAAACAGUCCGGAUAUAUAAUUUUAUGGAUAACUGACAUCCAAAUAAACAAUGUUUCACUGUACAUUUCGAUCUAUCUAUCUGUAAAUAAGGGCUAGUUUUAGGUUUACUUUUUCAGACAAUGAUUUUAUUUAUUCUUUUGAUUUU